This 499-nucleotide ribosomal RNA is filed under the name uncultured bacterium. RNAcentral describes it as "partial 16S ribosomal RNA". It matches the Rfam family "Bacterial small subunit ribosomal RNA", at positions 899 to 1397 of the family's 1533-position model. The record is from RNAcentral.
ACUCAAAUGAAUAGACGGGGGCCCGCACAAGCGGUGGAGGAUGUUGUUUAAUUCGACGCAACGCGAAGAACCUUACCUGGGCUUGAACUGCAGAGUAAACUCCUGGAAACAGGAGCUGUGGCAACACGAUUCUGUAGAGGUGCUGCAUGGCUGUCGUCAGCUCGUGUCGUGAGAUGUUGGGUUAAGUCCCGCAACGAGCGCAACCCUUGUCGUCAGUUGCCAGCGUGUAAUGACGGGAACUCUGACGAGACUGCCGGUGACAAACCGGAGGAAGGUGGGGAUGACGUCAAGUCCUCAUGGCCCUUACGUCCAGGGCUACAAACGUCCUACAAUGGCCGAGACAACGGGUCGCGAAAUCGCAAGGUUAAGCUAAUCCCUUAAACUCGGUCCCAGUUCAGAUUGCAGUCUGCAAUUCGACUGCAUGAAGUUGGAAUCGCUAGUAAUCGCAGAUCAGCACGCUGCGGUGAAUACGUUCCCGGGCCUUGUACACACCGCCCGU